UGAAGGUGUGAGGAGCUGGGGCUCACCUCAGAGCAAGUCAGCAGCUGUAGAACCUCACCCUUGCUGGCCUUCACCUUUGGGGACAGGGGGUCUUUCCAUGGAGGUCACUAAAUAUGCUCUUUUCAUUCCCCCUAUCGUGUGAACUUCACAAGAACCCCCAAAUCUUCUGUUUACGUGGGGGCAGACACUGGAGGCUUGGAGGCCCCCACCUUUGUCAAUUCCCCCCAAACUGUUCCAAAUUAAGUCACCCCAAAGAAAACCUGGGAACCUAUUCUUAAGCACAAAAGUCCCCUCCAUCUUGACAGCCUUUUCCAAACCCCUCUGCCAAGUUCCUAGUCUCAAACUUGCCCACCUAAAU
Molecule: long non-coding RNA, 358 nt
Filed under: Marmota monax (woodchuck)
Lineage: Eukaryota; Metazoa; Chordata; Mammalia; Rodentia; Sciuridae
Source: RNAcentral